RNAcentral lists this unclassified non-coding RNA (372 nucleotides) under Hevea brasiliensis (rubber tree). Lineage: Eukaryota; Viridiplantae; Streptophyta; Magnoliopsida; Malpighiales; Euphorbiaceae. The record is from RNAcentral.
AGUUGAUGGGUCUUGUCCUGGGUUCAUUUUGACAGGUUGUUAUGAUGGCUUAGGAAGGGUGUGGGAGUCUGCGGGAUUGUGUACACGUAUUCUCGAAGGUCACAGUGAUGCCAUAUCUUCUGUUUGUAUUGUGAACCCUGAAGAAGCAACUAAUGUCAUUCUGGCCACUGCUUCAAAGGAUCGAACACUCAGGCUGUGGAAGUAUUCAAAAGAUGAUCGAGUUAGCAACCCUACCAAAAUAAGGCCAUUCAAAAUCUUGAAAGGGCAUAAAUUGUCUGUACAAAGUGUUGCAUCACAAAAAUCUGGACACCUGAUCUGUUCAGGUUCUUGGGAUUACACAAUCAAGUUAUGGCGAACUGAUGAGCAUCAUUU